Sinocyclocheilus rhinocerous is the source of this 183-nucleotide long non-coding RNA. RefSeq lists it as uncharacterized. The record is from RefSeq and is a predicted model, not a curated record. The transcript has 3 exons. NCBI's taxonomy places the organism in Eukaryota, Metazoa, Chordata, Actinopteri, Cypriniformes, Cyprinidae.
AGUGCAGCACUGAUACAAAGCUCACCAUGCUGCCCGUCUGUCCGGCUGGAGCUGGAGGACUGCCGCCACGCCAGAGAAAAGAGCCAACAGGGGACAUUUUGCUCGACAUGACAAACAAAAACAUCUCUGACUACUUAGUGAAGACUUACCCCAAACUCAUCAAGACCAGCUUGAAGAGCAAAU